UAGUCCACGUCGUAAACGAUGAUCACUCGCUGUUGGCGACACAUAGUCAGCGGCCAAGCGAAAGCAUUAAGUGAUCCACCUGGGGAGUACGCCGGCAACGGUGAAACUCAAAGGAAUUGACGGGGGCCCGCACAAGCGGUGGAACAUGUGGUUUAAUUCGAUGAUACGCGAGGAACCUUACCUGGGCUUAAAUGUAGAGUGCAUGUUCUGGAAACAGGACUUUCCUUCGGGACUCUUUACAAGGUGCUGCAUGGUUGUCGUCAGCUCGUGCCGUGAGGUGUCGGGUUAAGUCCCAUAACGAGCGCAACCCUUAUCGUUAGUUGCCAUCAGGUCAAGCUGGGGACUCUAACGAAACUGCCGGUGUAAACCGAGAGGAAGGUGGGGAUGACGUCAAAUCAGCACGGGCCCUUAUGUCCAGGGGCUACACACGUGUUACAAUGGUCGGUACAAAGGGGCAGCUACUUGGCAACAAGAUGCAAAUCCCUAAAACGGGUCUCAGUUCGGGAUUGAAGUCUGCAAC
This 520-nucleotide ribosomal RNA is filed under the name uncultured bacterium. Its description in RNAcentral is "bacterial SSU rRNA". It matches the Rfam family "Bacterial small subunit ribosomal RNA", at positions 791 to 1311 of the family's 1533-position model. The record is from RNAcentral.